RNAcentral lists this ribosomal RNA (377 nucleotides) under uncultured bacterium. RNAcentral's name for it is "bacterial SSU rRNA". It matches the Rfam family "Bacterial small subunit ribosomal RNA", at positions 523 to 898 of the family's 1533-position model. The record is from RNAcentral.
AUACGUAUGUUCCAAGCGUUAUCCGGAUUUAUUGGGCGUAAAGCGAGCGCAGACGGUUAUUUAAGUCUGAAGUGAAAGCCCUCAGCUCAACUGAGGAAUGGCUUUGGAAACUGGAUGACUUGAGUGCAGUAGAGGAAAGUGGAACUCCAUGUGUAGCGGUGAAAUGCGUAGAUAUAUGGAAGAACACCAGUGGCGAAGGCGGCUUUCUGGACUGUAACUGACGUUGAGGCUCGAAAGUGUGGGUAGCAAACAGGAUUAGAUACCCUGGUAGUCCACACCGUAAACGAUGAGUGCUAGAUGUUCGAGGGUUUCCGCCCUUGAGUGUCGCAGCUAACGCAUUAAGCACUCCGCCUGGGGAGUACGACCGCAAGGUUGAA